This 814-nucleotide ribosomal RNA is filed under the name uncultured eukaryote. Its description in RNAcentral is "SSU rRNA". It matches the Rfam family "Eukaryotic small subunit ribosomal RNA", at positions 382 to 1199 of the family's 1831-position model. The record is from RNAcentral.
UCCGGAGAGGGAGCCUGAGAGAUGGCUACCACAUCCAAGGAAGGCAGCAGGCGCGUAAAUUGCCCGAAUCCUGACACAGGGAGGUAGUGACAAGAAAUAACAAUACAGGGCUACAUCUAGUCUUGUAAUUGGAAUGAGUACAAUUUACAUCUCUUCACGAGGAUCAAUUGGAGGGCAAGUCUGGUGCCAGCAGCCGCGGUAAUUCCAGCUCCAAUAGCGUAUAUUAAAGUUGUUGCAGUUAGAACGCUCGUAGUCGGAUUUCGGGGCGGGCCGACCGGUCUGCCGAUGGGUACGCACUGGUCGGCGCGUCCUUCCUUCCGGAGACCGCCUCUGUUCUUAACUGAAUGGGUGCGGGAGACGGAUCGUUUACUUUGAAAAAAUCAGAGUGUUUCAAGCAGGCAGCUCGCUCUUGCAUGGAUUAGCAUGGGAUAAUGAAAUAGGACUUUGGUGCUAUUUUGUUGGUUUCGAACACCGAAGUAAUGAUUAAAAGGGACAGUCAGGGGCACUCGUAUCCCGCCGAGAGAGGUGAAAUUCUCAGACCAGCGGAAGACGAACCACUGCGAAAGCAUUUGCCAGGGAUGUUUUCACUGAUCAAGAACGAAAGUUAGGGGAUCGAAGAGGAUCAGAUACCCUCGUAGUCUUAACCAUAAACCAUGCCGACUAGGGAUUGGGGGAUGUUCACUGAUUGACUCCCUCAGCACCUUACGGGAAACUAAAGUCUUUGGGUUCCGGGGGGAGUAUGGUCGCAAGGCUGAAACUUAAAGGAAUUGACGGAAGGGCACCACCAGGAGUGGAGCCUGCGGCUUAAUUUGAC